UGUAAUGCUUUGAUUGGUGCUUGUUGUUUAAUUUUAUUCAUUGCAUUACAUGUUUGAAUGAUUUUUGGUGCAUUGAAUUUUUGUUUAUUUAAAAAUUUUUUUGAGGAAGAGGUGUUUGGAAAAUUCAAAUCUUUGAGAAAGGAGAUGAUUGAGAAUCGUUUUUGGAGAGAAAGUUUUUUAAAAGAUUGGUUAAACGGGUUUAAUCUUCACAAUCAUAUUAAGUUAAAUUCAUAUUAAUUAUCGUCUUUACUCCACUAUUUAUUAUUUUGACGAUAAUUUAAUAUAUGAUUUCUUAAUGCAUAUAUUCAUCAAAACUUUGAAAUCAAAUUUGAUUUUUUGGUGAUUAAUUCAUCUUAGUUGUGAGUGUUGGAUAUGAUGAAUGGAUAUUCUCUAAUUGACUAAAAUUCGUCAAAAUUAUUUUCAACUGUGAGAUUGUCUAAUUCAGGGGGAGUUUGAAAUUGUUUGAAAAAAAAAAGGAGAAAGAGAAACUCCUAUAUGUAAAAGAUGUGGAAAGAGUUACAUCCUAAAAGGAGUGUGAAAACUACCACCACAUGUAGGAAAGAGCUACCAUCCCGGUCGUCCGGCAAAUGUGUGAAGCUACCACAUGAAGAUUGAAUUGAGUAACCGAAAAAGGUUGAAAAAAAUUGAAUAUUUUAGAAUUUUCGGAGUUAUAAGGUGGUAAGUUGAAAAGAUGCUCAAAGAGCCACCCCUGGUAUCAUAUUAGUUAAAUCUCUAUUUUGAACAUGUUGCGACAAAUUGGUGUUAAUUUUUGUUGAAUUUCUAAAAAUCAUUUUUCAUCAACUUACAUCUUGAUGGUUUUGAAUCAUUAAAUUAUUUUUGAUAAUGAAAUUUUGAUGUUUUGAUGUAUUUUGAAAUUCUAUAAUAUCUUAUUGUCAUUAUAAUGAUUCUUGGAGUAAAAGCCUUAAUUUAUUUGAAAUUAAUUUAAUUUGAUGAAUUUUUAAAGCAAAUUUUUCGAAAUCUGAGAUCGUUCAUCGAGCUUAGUCUCUCUCUUUCUCUACAUUUGCAUUUUAGGAUGAUGUUUUAGUUUCAGUUCUGCUUGUUUUUUUUUGGCCUGUAACUAUGACUUGACUACGCUUACAUUUUUCUAGUAUGUUUUCUCUCUCUAUUUUAUUUCUUUUGGCAAUUUUUGACAAAAAGAGGGAGAGCGUAGAUGAAGGGGGAGAGCAUGGAUGAACAGGCAAUGAACUAAGCAGAGGAUGAUGAGUUCAAGAACAAAGGGGGAGAUGUGAUCGAGAUGUGAAGAACAAAGGGGGAGAAGGUAUAAGAAUUUAAGAUUAAUCAUUUUUGAAUGAAUUGUUUUGCAGGAUUUCAAGACUUCAAGACUCCUAGUUGCGUCUAAGUCAUAGAGUCUGUUUUAGGAGUUUUUGUUAUAAUUUUGAGUUUCAAAUUGUAUUUGGAUUACACGCGAGGAGUUCAAUGUUUUGGUGAUGACAAUUGAACUUCGUUUUUCUUUACGAUGUAAUUUUGGAGUUUGUGUGAGUUUUGUCACGAAAUUGCCAAAGGGGGAGAUUGUUAAGUCUUGUGUGUUGGCAAGUUUCGUGAAGUGAGUCGGAGUCUUGAAGAAUCGGUGUGUGUCGUCGACGAUUGAAGAAUUCAAGAUUUCGAAGAAGUUGGAAAAUAACUCACGAUAUGAAUCACGACGUAAAGGUAAAGUUUUAAUUCAUGUUAUGGUGAUUCAUGCUUAAUUAUAGGCAUUAGAAUCAUAUAAUCAAAGUUUAGUUGAUUAGAAAAUGCUUCGGAACUUUGCGGAACCCGAAACGGUGCAAAAUCUGAAAAAUUGCAUUGUGUACCGGUACAGCCAUUAUCCCGUACCGGUACAGCCAUCAACUUUGGCUUCGAAAAUUUGUUCCGUCAUUGUGUAACCGGUGACAGCAUUUCGCGUACCCGUACACAGUGUAAAAUCGUGAAAACUUUCUAAUCCGACUCCGAUUGAUUCUAAAGUCUAUAAAUAAGCUAUUGGGCUUCUCUAACACAUCAAGCAUGAUAAGAAUACAUGUUUGAGAAACCCUAGAGGCUCGGAUUUCAUUCUAAACCUAUUUUCUACAAAUUAGCCUCUUUAGAUCAAAUCGAGAUAUCGUUUCGCAUUCUCUAUAUGUCGAUUUGAUCUCCGCUUCGCUUGGAGUUCUAUUCCCUGGUUUUCUACGAUACUCCUAAGCGAAGGAUCACCAUACACAUGAUGCUCUUCAUGAACGGCGUCGUGGAUUCGGCGUGAACGAAGACGGUUCGUGGAUUCGGAUCGUGAGCUCGUGGAUUCGAGUGGGCGUCGUGGAUUCGACGUGAUCGAGGCUUCGUGGAUUCGAAGUGGUGACGUUUCGUGGAUUCGGGACGUGGCGUUCGUGGAUUCGGACGUGGGGCGUGGACAACCCGUUGGUGUGCGCGAGAUCCGGAGAAGAUAGAAGAGAGGUUUGAGUCCGUGGAUUCGGUAAAUCACCUUGUAAUCUUUUAUUCUUAGUGGAUUGUUAUCGCGUGUUGGUCCCGUGGGUUUUUUACUCCGAGUUUGGAGUUUUCCCACGUAAAUCUCGGUGUGCUUUUUAUUUUUCGCAUUUAUUUUUAUUGCAUCGAGAUUUGUGAUUUUUUUGGCCUUUCACCUAUUCACCCCUCUCUAGGUGAUAGAUACAAUCUAGAUAGAUCCUUGGGCUCCUCAAAACUUUCACACUACUCCGCGACACUUUUGACACGGUCAUGCCUUGCCGGCGAUCGUAUGCUCUGAAAAAAUGUAAAUAAUAAAAGGGUGAGAACUAUAGUUAGUUCUCAGUAGAUGCAAUUGCAAAAAGUAGUCCUCUACACUCGGUCCAAAGGAGGUAUUAAUAGACAAAUAUUGAUAACAACAUAUAUUGCUACAAAAGGAAUGCAAUCAUUAAAUUUUCAACUACAAUAACUUGAGCAUACAAGAUGCUGCUAUGUUUCUGAUUACAUGUUUACCCAACUAUCUCAUGUCUCUAACCAUUUAUUUGAUUGGUUCAUUGACACAUACACAUCUCUUGAAGAGCCGAGAGAGAUCAUACUACUCUCUAAUUUGUAAACACACACCUCAUAGAGAACUGAAGGAGAUCAUACUCUAAUUAGUAGGGACUUGGAGUGAAGGGCGAUCGUCCCUCCGAGUACCACACAUGAAGUCAAGAGCAUCAACACUCCAAUGCAUAGCGGGAGUCGAGGGUGAUCGACCCUCCCAAUGCACAUGAGAGAGUCGGUGAUUGGCACUCCUUAAGGAUACUUCCAAAAGGACACAACAAACUCUUGUGACACCCUAAAUUCAUAUGACUUCUAGGAUUGUUAAACAUGUCCAAUAUACACAAACUUGUCCUCUAGUUCACAUUUAACCUAGAGUUCAUAUGUGAGACCCCAGGUAAUACUAUAUAUAAGAUAUAAUAGGGCUAAACUCUUAACCCUGUUUAAGCAUUUUGGGUGGUAGCUAGUGUCAGAUCAUUGGCGCUUACCAUUAAUCCCAAAAGCUUGAGCUGUUAAAAAUACGCAACCAAUUCAUUUAAAGCGUAUAGAUAAAGCGCCCACGGGUCUCAAUUGUGACUCAGCUCAACUAGCCUCACGCCACUUCGAACAUGACUCGGCCCACCGAGCCUUACGCCAUUUCGAAUAUGACUAGGCCCAACAGGGCCUCCCGCCACAAGGCAGGAUGCUGACCCAUUCAAGCCAACAAUCCCCUCUCCAGCACAUGCACACAUUUGCAGCAUGUGGGAAUCGAACCCGUGACCUUUGGUUCUGAUACAACUUGUCGGAUCGUUGGCGCUAACCAUUAAUCCUAAAAGCUCGAGCUGUUCGAAAUACGCAACCAAUUCACUUAAAGCAUAUAGAUACAGCGCCCACGGGUCUCGAUUGUGACUCGGCCCAACCAGCCUCACGCCACUUCGAACAUGACUCGGCCCACCCAGCCUCACACCAUUUCGAACAUGACUCGGCCCAACAUAGCUUCCCGCCACAGGGCAGGAUGCUGGGUCAUUUAAGCCAACAGCUAGAUUUAAGAGGUUAAGAGAGUUAAGCGUGCUAGGAUGGGAAUAAUCCUAUAAUGGGUAAUNGCCCAACCAGCCUCACGCCACUUCGAACAUGACUCGGCCCACCCAGCCUCACACCAUUUCGAACAUGACUCGGCCCAACAUAGCUUCCCGCCACAGGGCAGGAUGCUGGGUCAUUUAAGCCAACAGCUAGAUUUAAGAGGUUAAGAGAGUUAAGCGUGCUAGGAUGGGAAUAAUCCUAUAAUGGGUAAUCCCCUGAAAAGUUGGGUUGUCACAAUUGGUAUCAGAGCCAAUUAAUAGCCGGAAGUGUGAGAUGAGUCUCAGCUGAGUCAUGUUUAGACAACAGGAAGAGCGAGGCUCUCAUGCUGUUUACUGUUGUGAGUAGAGCGCAGCUCACCACAAGGUCAGUUUAGGCUAGCGAGAUGAGUCUCAUAUCGCCUGGUACUUGUGAGUCUAAGCCUGAUGAAAACAUCAGGGCGUAAAGGGAGGGAGAUUGUGAGACCCCAAGUAGUCCUAUAUAUAAGAUAUAAUAUGGCUAAACUCUUAACCCAGCUUAAAUAUUUUGGGUGGUGGCUAGGCCUAAGAGGUUAAGAGAGUUAAGAGUGGUAGGACGGGAGUAAUCCUAGAAUAGGUGACCCCUGGGGAGUUGGGGUGUAACAUCAUAUGUCUCUAUGUUCAACCUUAGAAUUUGACCUCAGUUCAGAUGCCACACUUAUUUAACCUAUAUCAAAGAUUUACAUUUUACUCGCAUGCAUAAGUUAAUUAUUUCAUUCGCAUACAAAAGGCUAAAAUAAUGUUUUCUAGCAUACCCCUAAAAUCUCAUUUAGUUUGAUUAUCUUACAUAAUACAUGCUAAUAAAUCCAAGAAAAAAUAGGCAAAGGGAAGAUCAAACUCUUUUCGGUGAUAUUCCCUACCUUUACUAAUUCUUGUACAAGAAGAUGAACUUGAUCUCCUAAAAGACAGAAAAUUUCUAAAAAUGACUAUAGCACAAUUAAAGCCUAAAAAUUUCCAUUAGAAUAAACCAACCAAACGUAGGAGAGACAUAGGAUUACAACAAUUCUAAAACCUCAAGAUUACAACAAUUCUAACCAAGGGUACAAAAUGAAUACAUAGGAUCUCACAUAAUGUACAAUUACAUCACAACACUAAGCCACUAAAUAAAUUUGUGGGUUCAUCUAUCAGACAUUGUGAGGCUCUAGCUAGUCGUUGCCUCCCUUGCCACGAUCCCUAGCCUUUCCGGCUGCGGAAGGCUCUGAAACAAAAACAACCAACCAAUGGAGGUAAGAACUAUUAAACAAUAGUUUCCAGUGGAUAUGCUGCCGAGAGUGGCGAAAAACACCACUAGGUCAAUGAGGCAUAGAUAUGAUAUAGGAAGUAUGAAAUAUAAAUGCAACAAAUAGUAGAAUAAUCUCAACUAUAUCAUGCCUCUAUAUGAUAUGUCUCUAGCAUGUAUAUGAAUUCCAAGGAAGAUCCAAAAUAAUACAAUCAGGUCAACAUCUCCCUACAAGAAAUCUUAAGGAAGAUCCAAAAUCCCACAGCUCGGCAAGCAGCCGAACAAAGAACACCAACAAUGCACCCGUCAAAGGUAAAGCUCCAUCCCAGGUAUCACGCAAGGAGUAAUACCUACGGCAACCUCCUUGGCUGCCAACUCAUCCAUCAUCGAACCAAAAGGUCUACCUCUACCAGGUGCCCUCCAAGGUGAGGUCGGUACCAAUGCUGCUAACAUCCCAAUCUUCGAACACUCCCAUCGAAGAUGAUCUGUCUGACUAUCCAAGAAACAUUUGUUUUCGUGUUACGAGCACGGCAAAAAUACGUGUAGACAUCCACGGUUCACACAUCGUAAUAGCUGCCGGUGCUAAGCUGUUCUUCACCAAUAUGAGAAUUCACGCCCUCAAGAUCAAUUCCUUUCAUUUAAGCAUCUUGAUAGAUCGCUUACUCAUCACUUACCACUCUUGGUGGCUUCCUUUGCAAUUCCAAUAAUUUUCAUGCCUUUCUCCUCCGUCAAGGCCUGAUCCAAAUCUCGAAAAGUUAUUGCAGUCAGCUGCUUACAGAUUUGACAUGCCCUUUCACAGCUUAAGUCCCUCAUCCAGUCGGCACAAGUCUCGGCUUGGAAUAAUGCCACAAACGAAACCAAAACAGUAAGCUGCUCACCACAUCCGGACCUCACUUGAUCCGGAGGAUGCAGACUUCCCCAGCUUGGCCACCUCGGCCGCCACGGAGCACGUCUUCGGCAUCCUGAGCUACCACAAGCAACAAACAUAACAAACAUGGGUUAAAACAACUCACGUCGACGAAUCCCCACACAAAGGUACCAAUCCCUCAAUCACGCGAAAGUAGCGAAGCGACUCCAACUAUUCUUCGAUGUCACGUUGUCGGCCGCCAACGUGACUCUCCAAGGACAUAUAAGUUAUCCACUUCGAUCCAACUCCACCACUCUGGAAGUUAUAGACAUGACCCAAUCAUAUUACUUUCGCCAACAAGUCUCAAAAGUCCCCGUCUCUCACGCUCCUAGCGCUUAUCGUUCAACCGGCCUAAGGUUUGCUAGGUCCCCUAAGACUCAACCCUAGGCUCUGAUACCAAACUAAUCUGUCAUGCCCCGGGCUGCAGCGAAAGCCUGCCGGGCGCGUGCCCAGACCCGCCGUGCACACCAAAAGCCACGAUGUGCACAAGGCGUCUACAAUAGCCAAAGAGAGCAAUAGAAAAAUUCAUCCUAGACAUGGUAACCAGAGCAAGAAUAUACAACAGCUAGAUAGAAAAAUUUGGAACUAAAACCUCAAGAUUACAACAAUUCUAACCAAGGGUACAAAAUGAAUACAUAGGAUCUCACAUAAUGUACAAUUACAUCAUAACACUAAGCCACUAAAUAAAUUUGUGGGUUCAUCUAUCAGACAUCGUGAGGCNCAUCUAUAGUUACUCCGCAGAGGCUCUAGCUAGUCGCUAACCCCUUGCCACGAUCCCUACCCUUUCCCGUUGCGGAAGGCUCUAAAAUAAAAACAACCAACCCAUGGGGGUGAGAACUAUUAAACAAUAGUUUCCAGUGGAUAUGCCGUCGAGAGUGGCGAAAUACACCACUAGGUCAAUUGAGGCAUAGAUAUGAUAUAGGAAGUAUGAAAUAUAAAUGCAACAGAUAGUAGAAUAAUCUCAAGUAUAUCAUGCCUCUAUAUGAUAUGUCUCCAACAUGUAUAUGAAUUCCAUCUCUAUAAUUACAUGCAAAAAUAAUUAUGUAUGCAACAAUAAAUUGCUAGUCCACAUCUAAACCAUGAUUAUUUAAUAUGGUAUAAUUCUCACAUUGUCAUUGACAUUAUAUGGUUAUAGUCAUCAUUGAGCUAUUGUUCUACAUUUAACAUCACAAGUGUAGGUUACAAAUACUAAGGGUGUCAAUGCAACAAUGUUCCACAACAAAAACCUCCCUCUACUAUGAAUGCAUCAAAUCUCAACAUAGGGUAACCAACUACUAUUAUGACUAUCUAUUAGGUAUGCAUCCAUAAGUAUCAAGGGUAUCAACUUACUAGUAUAUCCAACAUAAUGUCAAGUCUAUUUAACUCUUGGUUAACAUAGUUCAAUUCAUCAAGAUCUACACAAGUGUAGUCCGGCUUGUGCCACCUAAUUGCCCGUGGUAAUCCAUCAUUCCCUCUCUAGGAAUGAGCCCAUACCACGCCGACCCAGUAGGCACCCAAUACUGCACGAGCGAGCAUCUGUCGCGUAUGCCAACUUCGGAGUGCCGGCUUGUGGGGAGCGACCCUCACAAGCAUGUGCGAAUGAGCACAAAUGGCAAGCAAGUAUGAUUAUCAUCUCAAGUAUAUGGUCGUCAUGUCUCAAACAUGGUAUAAAUACUAGCAACCCAAAGGUCUAGUUCUAUGUCAUAGUGUAUAAGUUUAACCAUUCACUAAGUCCAAUGCCUCUUUAUGACAUUGUUAUUUUCUAUGCUAUCGCACAUGUUCCAAGCACAUUAAGGUUCACAUUUCAUUAUUCUAAUGAAGAUGGUUCUAUGCCUCAUUCAUGAACCUACCAAUGUGUACUACUACCACUAUAAUGCCAUAUGCAAAAAAGGUAAUCUUCUAAUGUCAAAUCCAAUGAACCCCAUGGGUGUCUUAUCAAGUCAUCGUAUAUGUCAUGCAUAUACCUUUCUACAUGAUGCCUCCACUUCAUGGAGUAUUAUAAAUAUCCAUACAUAGCCAUGCAAAUGCUUAAUUUCAUUGAACUACUCAAGUAUAUACUUAUCAUUUACAUAUCAUUUGCAUAUUCUAACACAUAAAACUCCUACAUGCCUUUAGUAUAAGGGUUCAUCUAUCAACUCAUAGGUCGGCAACAUAGUGUGCAUCACUACAUGAGCCACCUCUACAUAGAGUAUAAAAUUAUCAUGCAAGUGCAUAGCUUUCUUUUACUCAUGCAACAUGUACUACAACAUGCUUUACUCUUUACUAUAGAGAGUACAUCAACCAUCUUACGCAUCAUACGGAUGUCAAGUAUUCGAACUAUAUCAAUCAUCGUGUCUAAAACACGGAAUCUCAUUUGUCAACUUAAGGGUCAACAUAAUGUUACCCGGUAAACUUAGUUGUUCAUUUAAGCUAAGUACAAUAUUCAUGGCUCUACAUCAAAUGGUUGACAUAUCGUACAUCAUGCUCAUCUUUAUCUAGUAAGAAAUUAGUUGCAAAGUCCACUCGUUCCAUUAGCCCUCUAGAGUCUCAAAUGACCUAGAAUUCAUCUCUAUUAUGCAUUCCUACAAUGCACCAAAAGGAACAUGUCCUCGUACUAUAAUUUCAUAGAUACACCAUGCAUGCUUUCAUCAAUUGUUCUCUACUACAUAGAGCAUACAAAAUGUUAUACAUAACAUGUAUAUUUCAAGCACUCUAAAAUUCUAUCAUGGCAUAAAUAUCAUGAUUAUGCUACAAUUAAGUCCUAUAAUAUCAUAGGAGACAUAAGGGGAGUUCACCCAUUUUAGUGAGGUCAAACCCACCGGAUCACAUCCGAACGCUUUCGUUCUUCCGAACAAAGUUCUCCACCGAGUUUCUAGCACCCUAAGAAGAAUUCUGAAGGGUUAAAAGCUUCCAAAUAACUAUUUCGAAAAUCUUCGAAAAUUGCACAUGUAAGAAGUGAAAAAUACCUUAGAUCAAGAAGAACUUGAUCAUGUAAGUUUUGAGGAGCCCUAGGAUCUAUCUAGAUUGUAUCAAACACCUAGAGGGGGGUGAAUAGGUGUAAUGACCAAAAACCACAAAUCUCAAUGCGAUAAAAGUAAAUGCGAAAAAUAAAAAUCACACCGAGAUUUACGUGGGAAAAACUCCAACUUGAAGAAAAAAACCCACGGGACCAACACGCGAAAAAAUAAUUCACUAAGAGAAAAGAUUACAAGGUGAUUACCGACUCUACGGACUCGACCUCUCUUAACCUCCUAUGAAUCUUGCGCAAUCCUCCGGGUUGUCCACGCCAUCACGUUCGAAUCCACGAACGCCUCGUUCACGUCCGAAUUCACGAACGCCACUCGAAUCCACGAGCCCACGAUCCGAAUCCACGAACCGCCUUCGAUCACGCCGAAUCCACGACGCCGUCCAUGAAGAACAUCAUGAUUAUGGUGAUUCUUCGCUUAAGAGUAUUGAUGAAAACCAGAGAACAAUCUCCAAGCGAAGUUUAGAUCAAUUCGACAUAUAGAUAUGAAAUUUCAAUACUUCGAAUUGAUCUAAAAGAGGCUAAUUUGUAGAAAAUAGGUUUUGAGCGAAAUCCUAGCCUCUAGGGUUUCUCAAACAUAUAUUUUCGUGAUGUACAAUGAGUUAGAGAACCCUAAUACUUUAUUUAUAGACUUUAGAAUCAAUUAGAGUCGGAUUAGAAAGUUUUCAGAUUUUUACACUACGUACCGGUACUAAAAUAAGUUGUUACCGGUUACACAAGGACGGAACAAAAAACUUUUAAAUACUGAAAACCGGUUACAAAGUCAAUGUUGUACCGGAACCAAUUUAGUACCGGUACACUUUCAAUGCUGUACCGGUACACAGUGAAGUUUCCAAAUUUUGCACUAUUUCGGGUUUCACAAAGUUGUGAAGCACUUUCUAAUCCACUAAACUUUGAUUUUCAUGAUUCUAACGUCUAUAACUAAGUAUGAAUCACCAAUAACAUGAAUUAAAACCUUACCUUAGCAUCGUGAUUCAUGUCGUGAGUUAUUUCUGAUUUUUUCGAAAUCUUGGAUUCUUCGAUCUUCGACAAUAUGCACCGAUCCUUCAAGACUCCGACUCAACUCACGAAACUUGCCAAUACAAAAUACUUAACAAUCUCCCCCUUUAGCAAUUUCGUGACAAAACUCAAAAACACAAAAUUACAUCAUAAAAGAACAACGAAGUUCAAUGUCAUCACCAAAAAUAUUGAACCCCUCGCGUGUAAUCCAAAUUACAUAUGAAGUUCAAAAUUAUAUCAAAACUCCUAAAACAGACUCUAUGAUUUAGACGCAACUGGGAGUCUUGAAGUCUUGCAUUCCUGCAAAACAAAUUAUCCAACAACGAUGUAGAAAUUUAAAAACAUUAGAUGCUUAUACCUUCAAAGUCAUUGUCCUCGAAAUUUCAUUGCUCCUCCCCCUUUGUUCUUGAAUUCUCCUCCUGCUUUGAUCAAUACCUGUCCACCUAUGUUCUCCCCUUUUUUAUCAAAAAUUGCCAAAACACAGCAUAUAGAGAGAAAAUAUACUAGAAAGCAGAAAAAUAGUCAUGUCAUAGAUACAGGCCUACAAGUAAAGCAAAGACAAGCAAAAACUAAACAUAGUCCUAGGAGAAAAGAUAAAACAGAAAUACUAAGGCUCAAAGACAUUAUCACUCUGUGUCCUCAUCAUCAUCAUCCUCUCCAGCUCUAUCUCCUCCAACAUCAGGUGCACUGGUAGUCGGUGGAAUAAGCGGAUGUGUCGAUGUCGAUCUAGUGUAGGUAGGAAAAACAUCGUCGUGUCGACAUCCAAGCUUCUCCAUUAUCCUCUUCAUCCCUUUUUCCAAUCUCUUUAAACCUUUCUUAACAGAAUGCACCUCACGGUGAAGUGACUCUACAGUAAUCACUCUCCCUGAGCUUGAAGAUCCCUCUCGCUCUGCACGAUGUGGAUGUGCAGAACUAGAAGCCGCACGUGCCUGUCCCUUGGUCUGCUGAAAAGUCUUCAAAGUGCUCACUGACUUGGCCCAUGUCACUCCAUCAAUCGGUCCAAGGCCAUAGUCAUAUUUCUCACAUGUCACGUCUAUUCCAUUUUCUUGCAUAAUCCGCGUGAUCAAUAUAGGAAAUGGAAGUAGCUCACGUUGUCCCGAAGACUAUAUCACGUGCACCAUUCGUUGCCACAUUAGGAACGGAAUAUUGAUAUUUAAACCAUCUGCUUGCUCGGGGUGGCCAAGGAGAUAUAGAAGCACAAGUCGAUCCCAGCGAAUCCUUUUAGUCCCAAUAGUAGGUUGAACGUUGUAACAAAGAACCAAGGACAAAAGGUGAUACUCAGGCCGCAAGUCCUUCGACUCCACAUAACCAUGGUUUGUCCUCGUUCUAUCUUUGCAAAUUGCACGAACAACCAUGUCCCAGUGAGAUGAAGACUGAUAAAUCCCUGAUGUAUAAUGAAGACCCGUGGUAUCUACAUGCAACCCCAAAAGCUCACCAACUGUGUGUGGGGUAACAAGAAUCCUCUGCUGGCGCACAUAUGUCUCGAAUAAGUACGUGUCGCUCUCCUCAUCCUCUGCUAGAACCUUUCCACACAUGUAGAACUCCCGAAUGAGUUCCACACAAAAAGGUGAACGUGCCGAAACCCGUCCAACGAGCUCGAUAGGAGCUCUCUGAAGUAAACACCCAAAGUCUGGAACCUCCCUGACAAGUUCGUUGAAGUUCACAUAACGUUCCCCAAGGCACGAUCUACUUGAGAAUGCUUUUCGCCGCUCCGUUUGAAUCUCUGCUGCAUGCUUUGAGCGACUUUCAUGCUCACGAGGUCCACCUUCUCGAACGACAGGGCCACAUUUUUUCUUACGAGAGGUUUCACCUGCUAUCCCUUUUCCUUUGUCAGUGUGAACAACUGUUUCUUCAGCCUCCUCGUAGGAGCUUGCCCGAUAAUCCGAAUCAGAAUCUGACGACUCGUCGGCAGUACGAGUCCUCUUAAAAGCCCCACGACGGCCUCUCCCGCGACUACGACCACUCCCCGUGGCCAUAAGCACCAUCAGAACCAAAACCAAUGAAAAUGUCAUUUUUCCUAUACAAAAACAAACCUUGCAUGAACAUAAUCACAAUAAAAAUCUGUAAAAAAUAGUGAAAAAUUUCCAAUAAUAUUAGAAUGCAUAAUAACACUAUUUCUAACUAAUGCAAGCAAGAUUUUUCAUUAAAAGUGGCAUUUAACAUGUAAUCCCGAAAUUUUAUAUAUAUCAUGGUACAGAUUAUAGAUCAGCAAAAAAUAACGCAUUAUAUCAUGAUCUAAGUGUUCUAGAAGUGAGAAUACAUGUAUAUAAACUGAAUCACAGCAAAAAAUUGCAACAAAAAUGGUUCAAAACUGAGAUCGAGCUUCGUCCCGGAGUUCGUUAAAAACAGCAAGAACGUGAGAAAAAGAAUAAAUCCGAGCAAAAUACUCACAGAUUUUUGAAGAAACUGCGUGGAUCUGGAGGAGAAGAGUGCUUGGGAAGUUUAGAGAGAGAAAGGGAACGAUUUGAUUGAGUUUUGAGAGAUAAACAAAACCCGUAGCCGGUUUAUAAAACGCGGUCUAUAGUACUUGUACCGGUACACGGGAUUUGGUACCAGUACAGGUUGCCAAAAUUCGAAAAUUUUACCUCGAAAAUCCUUCAAAAUUAAAUUAAUUUUAUAAAAAUUAAAGAUUGUACUUCAAAAAUUAUUAUAAUGAAUAUAAAAUAUUACAUAAAUUCAUAAUUCAUCGAAACGUCAAAAUUGUGUUAUCAAAAUAAUCUAAUGAUUCAAAACCAUCAAGAUGUAAUGGUUCAUGAGAAAUGACUUUUCGAAAUUCGGCAAAAUUGACAUCAAUUUGUCGUAAAUCUUUCAAAAUAAAGAUUUAACUAAUAAAACACCGGGGAUGGCUCUUUGAGCAUCCUUUCCUCCUACCACCUUAUAACUUCGAAAAAAAAAUCUAAAAUAUUCAAUUUUCAACCUUUUCGGUUAAUCAAUUAAUCUCCAUGUGGUAGCUUCACACACUUACCGGACGACCGGGGUGGUAGCUCUUUCCUACAUGUGGUGGUAGUUUUCACACUCCUUUUGGAUGUAACUCUUUUUCAUAUCUUUUUACUCAUAGGAGUAUCUUUUUCUUUUUUUUUAAUCAUUUUAAACUCCCCAUAAAUUAGACAAUUUCACAGUUGAAAGUAAUUGACAAAUUUUAGUCUAUUAGCGAAUAUCUAUUCAUCAUAUUCAACACACACAACCAAGAUAGAUUAAUUGCCAAGAGAUCAAAAUUGAUUCCAUAAUUUUGAUGAAUAUAUGUAUUAAGAAUUCAUAUAAUAAAUUAUCGUGAAAAUAAUAAAGAGUGGAGUAAAACCGAUAAUUAAUAUGAAUUUAACUCAAUAUGAAUUUUAAUUUGGUUAAGGCACUUUGAAAAUUUUAAUCUUCCCAAAAUAAUGAUUUUAAAUCGUCGCCUUUCUCAAAAAUCAAAUUUUAAUUCCCAAUCAUCCUUCUCAAAACGAUUUAAAAAAAUUAAAAUACCAAAAAUCGUUUGAACAUAUAAUGCAAUGAAUAAUAAUAUGCAAUAAGCACCAAUCAAAGUAUUACAUAAAUAUAAGCAAACUAAGACGAAGAAUAAGGAAAGAUAUCACCUUUUCGAAUCCAAACUUGUCGGAUUGUUGGUUGUCUUGGCUUGUCGACAUUAGGCACGGUUUGCUUCAACUUUUGAUCCACCGUCGACCCUUUUGUUGCAUGUGGCUUUUGUUGAACUCGACGUUGUGGCUUUAAAUUCCGGUUUACUUGUGGUCCUCGACUCAAUCGAUUUUUCUUUUGAUUCCAUGGGGGAAGUCGAGUGGUAGAGGGUGCCGACGGACGUUUAGAAAUUGCCGGUUGAUACUUCUUAUUCGUCGCCGGGCAAUUCUUUUUGAUGUGUCUUUUAUUCCCACAUUUAUGGCAUGGCACACCUUUUCCUUUGAAUUUGUUGAGACAUUAGAAAUUGGCUUUAAAUCCUUCUCAACAUAAGUCCUUUCGUAACCGAGACCAAGCUUGUUCAUUUGACCCAAUCCGAGCAUGUGGUCCAAUUUCUUCGAUCCGGAAGAAAAUUUUUGAAUGUCGGAUUUGAGUUGACGAACUUGAUUGCUCAACACUUGAUUGGAUGCGUGAGUUUCCUUGAAUUGAUGCUCCAAAAAUCGAAUCUUGUCUUUAGAAGAUCUAAUCAUUAAUUCCGCUUCAUCAAGCUUCUCUUGGAGGAUCGAAUUAUUCUUCAAAUUUGAUUCCCUUUCCUCCUCGAGAGCUUUGUUUGUAGUCCUCAAAUUGUUAUUCUCCUCUUCAAGGUCCAAUAAACGCCUCCUCAACUUCUUAUUAUGCUUUGCUAUCUUAUUUGAUUCAAUAAGAAGUUGAUCGUAUGCUUCCGUUAUAUCCUUGUCGUUUGACUCCUCCUCGCUUUCGCCAUCAUCGCUCGAAGUUCCAUGCAAGGAAGGAGAAACACUAAAAUUAGAAACAAUAAAGGAUAAACAAACAACAUUAGACGAAGGCAAAGAAGUGUUAGUAAAUAAAGCAAGAUUUUCAUUCUUUUCUUCGUCACUUGAAGUAGAAUCAUCCCAAGUUUUCGCUUGCAAAGCCUUCGGUUUAUAAGUUUUCUUAGAAGGACAAUCCGUGGAAAUAUGGCCGUAACCUUUACAUUUGUAACAUUGGAUUUCCCCUUCAAAAUUAUUUUUUUCUUUAGAAGGCUUUGUAAGUUUCUUAUCCUUAGAUUUUGAACUUGAACAUUGUUUAGAAAACAAUUUUUGCUUCGAAGAUGAAGCCUUGUUUGAUUUGUUCUUCCGAAAAUUCUGACGAAACUUCUUCAUUAGAAGUGCCAAUUGGUGUUCAAAAUCCGCAAUUGAUAUGUCAUCGUCGGAUCCCGAGUCCUCGUCUUCCUCCUUUGUCGAUUUCAAAGCAAUCCCUGUACUUUUAGAGAAAGACUUGGAAGAAGAUUGGUUAGUAGGAAAAGUCAUCACAUAAGUUUGCAAAGCACUUACUAACUCUUCCACUUUCAUCUCAUUCGGAUGCUUAACCAUUUCAAUUGCGGCAACUUUUGCCCUAAAGUGUUCCGAAAGAGUUCGAAGAAUCUUUCUAACAACCUUAGAAUCCGGAAUUUUCUCCCCCAAGUUCGCACAAGUAUUAACAACAUCUUGUAUACGCGUAUAGUACUCGGUAAAGGUCUCGUGUUCGUCCAUACAAAUUGAAUCAAAUUUACUUGUUAAUAUUUAUAAUUUUUGAACCUUUACCAAGCUAGUUCCUUCAUGCGUAACUUGUAGAGUAUCCCAAAUUUUCUUGGCGGUUUCACACGCCGAAACACGAGUAAACUCCGUUUGAGAUAAAGCAUUAAACAACGCAUUAAUUCCCUUGCCAUUAAACGAAGGUGAUUCGUUUUCAUCUUUUGUCCACUUAUUCUAGGUUUAGGGACAGUAGCAUUAUCGACAACUUCGGUAGGAUGUUUUCACCCGAAUUCGAUAGCUUGCCACACUCACUCGUUGAUUGCAAUUAGAAAAGCUCUCAUGCGAACCUUUUAAUAGGCAUAAUUCGUGCCAUCGAAAAGUGGUGGUCGAUUAAUGUUACCGCCUUCGGCCAUUAGAUAGCAAUAUAUCUAUAUCCUUGCUCUGAUACCAAUUGUAAGUUUUGAGGAGCCCUAGGAUCUAUCUAGAUUGUAUCAAGCACCUAGAGGGGGGUGAAUAGGUGUUGUAACACACUGGACCUGUGCAAAUUGCGAGGUUCGAGUGUUUGAUAUGGAUUCCGAACUUUUUCACACUUGGUGGAAGGUCAUAGAUGGUAUUCCGACCUAAAAGUUCGAUUUCUGGAGCUUUGGCUUUGUCCUGAGAGUUUUCACUCUCGGGGACCGGUCCCUGAUAGGAGAAACCGGUCCCCUCGGAAGAGUGUUGCGGCAGUCUGUGAGGCAACCGGUCCCUAGCGGAUGAGACCGGUCCCCGAGCGCGACUACGCGGAGAGAGACCGGUCCCAUGCAGGGAGAGGCCGGUUCCCGAAUGUUGGAUUUUCGGGGCAGGCUGAGAGACCGGUCCUAGGUCGGGGAGACCGGUCCCUCAAUCCGAAAACUGCCCAGACCCAGGCAGUGCACAGGUUGCUUUGUUGGAGGGCCUAGGUGAAUAUUGUUGCAAUAGAGGGCUUUUAUGGCCACUCCACUUUCUCUCUCCUUCAUUUCUCUUCUCCCAACUCUCCCUACACUUUAGAUAGAGAAUAAGAAGAAGAAGGAGAAGAAGAAGAAGGAAGGAAGGAGAAAAAGAAAACCACCAAGAGGACUUGGAGCAUCUUUCUCUCCCUCUCUUCUUCCCUUGGGUGCUUGAAGGCUUGGACUUGGAGCUUGCUAAAGAGGAGAUCUUCACUUUUGGAACUUGGAUUGGAGCUUCUCUAGAGGUUAGUAGCCCAUUUCUCUCCUCUAGACCUAGUUUUGAUGGUUUUUGGGAAAUGGAACCCUAGAAUGGAAAAUCUAGGGUUUAUUUGGGGCUUUUUGAUUAAGGGCUUUUUGAGCUAAUCUAAUUAGAUUAGAACCUUGGUUUAGGUUGCUUUGGAAGGGAUCUAGCUUCCAUUUGAGAUUUGGAAAGGGAUUUCUACACUAUUGGUGAGAUUUUGGCCCUUUUGCUUAGUAGUUUAAUGUUUGAGCUUGUAGUUGAUCGUAAGAUUCGUUUAACCUUUGUUCUUGUGCCUCUAGGGUACUAAGAGGCUAGAGGACACCUUCGUUGGAGCUUACGAAGGGUUUCGAGACGGUUCGGUAGGUUUGACCUAGACUAACAUAUGAGAAAUUAUCAUAUCCUAUGUCUUAUGUUUCGUAAAGUAGAAAUUCAUGCAUUUCCAUGUUAAAUGUAAUUAUUGUGAAUUUUAGGAUGCUUAACAUGCCUAUGUUAUGUGUAAUAAAUUUUCGGGCCUCUAUGUAGUAGAGAACUAGCAUGUGGAACUUGUACAUGAUUGGCAUCCUAUUGAGACUUGGAAUCAUAAUUCCUAUUGUGAAAAUGAGCAUUACUUUCAUGCAUUUAAAGCUAUUCCUACUUGAGACUUAAAGGAUCUUAGUAAGCCAUAAAGAGGCUUAGGGACUUGUACUACUUGAGAAUAAUUGGGCUAAUGUCAUUAAGCGGCAUCGAGCUCGGGUCAUGUAUGAACCUAGUGUUAAGGUCAUUAAUGGAAUAUUGAAUAGGUGGUGUGCUUGACCUAUAGAAAUGCUUAAGUGUCAUAAAGAGGCACUAAGCAUAGUGAUAAAGUUGGAACUUCACCUUGAGACAUAGAACUAGAUCGUUGGAUGUUAGUGGCUAUUACCAUGUUAGAGGCAUGAGGAUUGGGUACUUGAGAUGAUGAUUAUGCUUGCUUGCCAUUUGUGCUCAUUCGCACAUGCUUGUGAGGGUCGCUCCCUACAAGCCGGCACUCCGGAGUUGGCCUACGCGACUUAUGCUCGCUCGUGCGGUAUCGAGAAACCUACGGGGUCGGGAGGGAUAGACUCAUUCCUAGAGUGGAAAUGCUGGAGCUACACCGACACUUAGGUGGCACAAGCUGAACUACACUAUGUAGGUCCUAGAACAUGUUGGAAAUAAUGACAUUGAACGGAAAAAUGACAAUCACUACUAGAUAGACUUAGUAGUUGGAUUAUUUUGACAUGCUUAUAGCAUAGUGCUGAGACAUGUAGUAUACUUGACAGUUUACUUGUUGCAUCAUAGUAUACUUGGUUGCCAUGAUAGAUCAUAAUCGUCAUACAUUGAUAGAACGGAUCAUGAUAUUUACUUGUUGCCAUGUUGGGACAUACUGUUUUGUGCAUUGGACAUACUUCACUUUAAUAAAGCAAAUGUACAAUACUUGGACAUCAUGUUUAUGCGCGACAUAGUAGCUUAGCAUUUUAUUUAUGCUUUCAUAAAUACAAUCUAUUUACUAUUAUUGUUGCUUUUUGGACUUACCCUUUUCUUUUGGGGCCUAGUGGUGCAUUGAGCUGAGGUCAGUAACUGCCUACUGGGAACUAUAAAUUAUAGUUCUCACGCCCUCUGUUUUAUGUCUUAUUUCAGAGCCUUCCACGCCGGGAGAGGCUAGGGACCGCGGAAAGGGUAUCGCCUCGAGCUAGCUUGCUAUCUAGGGACGCGUUGAUAGGUGGUCUACCUCUUGUUAUUUUUUUUUUGGAGAGGUUGAGAGUUAUAUCCAUGUGUAGUGACCACCCUUUUGUGUACCCUUUUUUGGAGAUGGUUAUUGUAUAACUUUAUGACUCACUUUUAUUGUUUAGCAUAUUUUUCUAUCACUUUGUUAUAGAUGAUAGAUUUACUCUUACUCUGAUAUCUCUAGUUGUAGAUCAUUUCUUUGGUUUUAUUUUUCGCUGUUAUUGUAGACGCCUUAUAUGUGCUGACAUAUGGCGGGUCUGGGCGCGCUACCGGGAGGGCCUCCGCCGAUCCCGGGGCGUGACAGGUGCAAUGACCAAAAACUACAAAUCCCAAGGUGAUUACCGACUCCACGGACUCGACCUCUCUUAACCUCCUAUGAAUCUGGCGCAAUCCUCCGGGUUGUCCACGCCCUCACGUCCGAAUCCACGAACGCCUCGCUCACGUCCGAAUCCACGAACGCCACUCGAAUCCACGAGCCCACGAUCCGAAUUCACGAACCGCCUUCGAUCACGCCGAAUCCACGACGCCGUCCAUAAAGAACAUCAUGAUUAUAGUGAUUCUUCGCUUAGAGUAUUGAUGAAAACCAGAGAACAAUCACCAAGCGAAGUUUAGAUCAAUUCGACAUAUAGAUAUGAAAUUUCAAUACUUCGAAUUGAUUUAAAAGAGGCUAAUUUGUAGAAAAUAGGUUUUGAGCGAAAUCCUAGCCUCUAGGGUUUCUCAAACAUAUAUUUUCGUGAUGUACAAUGAGUUAGAGAACCCUAAUACCUUAUUUAUAGCCUUUAUAAUCAAUUAGAGUCGGAUUAGAAACUUUUCAGAUUUUUACACUGCGUACCGGUACUAAAAUAAGUUGUUAUCGGUUACACAAGGACGAAACAGAAAACUUUUAAAUACUGAAAACUGGUUACAAGGUCAAUGCUGUACCGGAACCAGUUUAGUACUGGUACACUUUCAAUGCUGUACUGGUACACAGUGCAGUUUCCAGAUUUUGCACUAUUUAGGAUUUCACAAAGUUCCGAAGCACUUUCUAAUCCACUAAACUUUGAUUUUCAUGAUUCUAACAUCUAUAGCUAAGUAUGAAUCUCCAUAACAUGAAUUAAAACCUUACCUUAACAUCGUGAUUCAUGUCGUGAGUUAUUUCUGAUUUCUUCAAAAUCUUGGAUUCUUCGAUCUUCGACAAUAUGCACCGAUCCUUCAAGACUCCGACUCAACUUACGAAACUUGCCAAUACAAAAUACUUAACAGAUCAAAGCCCAAAUCGAGGCUAGGAAGCUUCAAAUCCAACCUAUAAGAGUAUUAUACACUCAUCAAUUCCAUUCCAAAAGCUCAUAAUAAGAAAAUCCCAAAAUGAACCCUAGUUUUUCAAAAACUAGGUUUUCUCCCAAAACUCAAACAAAUCUCUUAGAUAGAGCUUAAGAGAAGGUUUCUAACCUCAAAACAAGCUUCAACUUGAGCCAUCAUGUGCUAGGGUUGAAGUUUGAACCAUCCACAAGCUCCUCUCAUCACCUCCAAGCUCCAAGACGCAAGCAACCAUAGAGGAGAGGAAAAAAAAAGAGAUCAAUCCUAAAAAAUCCAAGAGAUUUAGAGGAAAAAUCAAGAGAGAAAAGGGGAAGAACUCACCUCUAUCCUCUCUCUCAAGCCUCAGCCAUUGAGGAACAAAUAGGGGGUGAAGGGGUAUAUAAACACAUUGUAACAAUAUCCCCAUAAGCCCUCCAACAAGCAGAAAUUGCAUCCUGCACGAAUAGCAGUUUUCUGCACUGCGUACCGGUACUCGGGGAAGAGUACCGGUACCCUGCACAAAAUUCUGCUCAACCCGAGUCUCGGUCAAGCCUUCACACUACGGCGUACCGGUACUCGGCCAAUGCUCUACUGGGACCCGACCACCCAACAGCUCAAACUCGAGAGCAGCUUCUCUCGGUUAUACAGGGGAGUUCUGGUACCAUCUCUCUGGUAUCGGUACUCAGCACCACAAAACCUACAGUUUGAAGGUUUUGGUGCUAAGUACUCCGCCUCACGUUCUCACAACACGAGUAAUCGGUCGGUACUCAGUCAACGACCUUCAAAAUCACUAAGAAUAGCGCAAGCACUAUUCUAACACUGGAACCUUGCAAUUUGCUAAAGUUCAGUGUGUUACAUAUGAAUUCAUAUAUAAGUGUUUGUGCAUGCGAUAGUGUAGAAUUCGCAUACAUGCUAAAUGACAUCUCAUAUAGAGGCAUGAUAUAGUUGAGAUUUACUUUUCAUAUUUUCUAUAUCAUAUCUAUGCCUCAGUUGACCUAGUGCUGUAUUUCACCACUCUCGGCUGCUUACCCACUGGAAACUAUAAAUUGUUUAAUAGUUCUCACACCCAUUGAUUGGUUGUUUUUGUUUCAGAGUCUUCCGCAGCGGGAAAGGUUAGGGAUCGUGGCAAGGGAGGCAACGACUAGCUAGAGCCUCACGAUAUGUGAUAGAUGAACCCACAAUAUAUCUAGUCGCUUAGUGUUGUGAUGUAAUUGUACAUUUUGUGAGAUCCUAUGUUUUCAUAUUGUACCCUUGAUUAGAAUUGUUGUAAUCUUGAGGUUUUAGUUCCAACAUUUUGUAUCUAGUUGUUGUAUAAUCUCGCUCUGAUUACCAUGUUUAGGAUGGAUUUUUCUAUUGCUUUUCUUGACUAUUGUAGACGCUUUGUGCACAUCAUGGUUUUGGUGUGUACGACGGGUCUGGGCACCCGCCCGGCGGGCUUUCGCUGCAGCCCGAGGCGUGACAUAUAAAAACUAGCCAUUGGGUGUCAUGACCCAAACCCCACAAAUAGAAUCAAGACCACUGCGCCUCCAUAAAAUCAAAUUUAAUUUAAAUUCAAAACUUAUGGGUGUGCAAGGCUUCCACUAUAGCAAGAUCAGCUGACAAUAAAAAAACUCUAUAUAGGGUAAUCAAUAUUAUAGCAAGAAUAUUGGAGGAAAUAAAAUCAUCCCAAUUAAGUAUAAAUGAUGCAGAAAUGUAAAUACUAUUAGCACAAACGAAAAUAGUGUGUAUAUAUGGACUAAUACAAAUAAAAUAUAACAUAUAAAGUACAUAUAUAUCAAACUAUAGGAGUUCGGCUGGGAUACUAUCAAUAGCAUCAAGCAUUUGGCGCUGUUAGAUUUAACCCUUUGACUAUUUUCACCCGUUAGAUUAUACUAUUCAACCAAUAACUUACUCAACCCUAGGGGCCUACAUCAUCCUAACCGUAUAUUUUUUCACCCAAGGGCAAAAAACCUAAUAGCACCAAUAGCUUGGCUGUAAUAUACCAAACUUCUACAAUUAUAAUGUUUCGAUAGGAAUUAGCUUA
Molecule: long non-coding RNA, 21494 nt
Filed under: Ananas comosus (pineapple)
Lineage: Eukaryota; Viridiplantae; Streptophyta; Magnoliopsida; Poales; Bromeliaceae
Description: long non-coding RNA (ACOM_LNC020015)
Source: RNAcentral